CUGCGUGGAGCGCUCCCUCCCCAUCUAUCUCUCUCUCUCUCUCUCUCUCUCUCUCUCUCUGUAUCUCUCUAUUUUCAUCCUCCCAUUCUUCCCUUCCCCAGCACUCUCCACCAGCGAAAAAAAAAAAAAAAACAAGAUCGAGGGAAAACGAGUGUGGAACAGCAAUCAAGAUAAUAAAAAUGGAAACUAGAGAGUGCGAGAGAAGCAUAGAAAAAGAGAGAGUGAGUAUGUGUGACAGAGGAAGAGAGGUAAAAUAAAUUAUUCCUCCCGGUCGCGGUCGUAUAAGUCUCUGGCACGCAAAACUGAGCCGCCUCACUGUAGCGCGCAGGGCUGUGCGCUCCUUCAGCCAGCUAAUCCCGUGGACUAAAGCUCCGCGCUUGGCGUUUCAAGGCAUGGGGAUGCACAGGUUUGGCGUUCGGCACAGAAAGUCGAAGCCCAUCACGGUCUCCCCGGCCGUACACCGCUGAACAGUUGCUGCUCAUGUGGUGACUACAGCGACAAGGUGUAUGGCACGGUCCCCAACAUCAGAGAGAAUGGAGACAAAAUCGCUGUGUGGAAGACUGAUUAUGAGAACAUGCAAACAUGACCCAUAUAAGUCACAGGAGGGUGUAUAAGGAGCGAUUAGGUGUGCCACAGAAGCUGACCAUCGGCUACCAGUCCUACCAGACACUGCAACCAAGAGUGGCUCCACCACCAAGAACAAGUUCAUCGUCUGAUGACCCAUACCAGACCCAUACUUUUUUUUUAAAAGCUUUUUUUUUAAAUUUUGUUUUCAAAUGACCACGUCACGCAAUCCACACCCAGGUUAAACCAAAGCUUCUUCAGAUGUAGAACGGACUGUGUUUCAUUGAAUCUGCCGAUAAAACCCUCAACCUGAACCACAAAAACAAAACAAAAAAUGUACUUGAAUUCUCACACAUGUGCAAUUAAAUUUGCAGAUUAACCUCAUAAGAAAAAAGGAAAGAAAAGUAACAAUGUCAAUAAUAAAUGAUUAGACCGCAGGAAAUUAUUUUUUGUAAUUGCUUUGUGCUUCUCUUUACAGCAGUGCUUUUGCUGUAAUCUUUAAUACUAUUAAAGCCUUUGAAUUUAUUUCA
Conger conger (European conger) is the source of this 1094-nucleotide long non-coding RNA. RefSeq lists it as uncharacterized. Lineage: Eukaryota; Metazoa; Chordata; Actinopteri; Anguilliformes; Congridae. The record is from RefSeq and is a predicted model, not a curated record. The transcript is spliced from 4 exons.